UCAGUCGGCUGGAUGGCCGCUCCGGGGUAACCCGGGGAGGAAAGUCCGGGCUCCACGGAAAAACGGUGCCGGAUAACGUCCGGCGGGGGCGACCCUAGGGAAAGUGCCACAGAAAGCAGACCACCGCACCGCGCCUCCGGGCGCCGUGCGGCAAGGGUGAAAGGGUGCGGUAAGAGCGCACCGCGGGCCCGGCAACGGGACCGGCACGGUAAACCCCACCGGGAGCAAAACCAAAUAGGGACGGCACGCGCCAAACCGCCCGCCCGCGGGUGGUCAGGUGGCGCGAGGUGUUUCCGCACCGCCGUCCGGGUCGGUUGCUCGAGGCGUCCGGCGACGGACGUCCCAGAUGAAUGGCCAUCCACCGCCCCUCGGGGUGGGGACAGAACCCGGCUUACAGGCCGACUGAUGCU
RNAcentral lists this RNase P RNA (410 nucleotides) under Caenispirillum bisanense. RNAcentral's name for it is "Bacterial RNase P class A". It matches the Rfam family "Bacterial RNase P class A". From Rfam's summary of the family: Ribonuclease P (RNase P) is a ubiquitous endoribonuclease, found in archaea, bacteria and eukarya as well as chloroplasts and mitochondria. Its best characterised activity is the generation of mature 5'-ends of tRNAs by cleaving the 5'-leader elements of precursor-tRNAs. Cellular RNase Ps are ribonucleoproteins. The record is from Rfam by way of RNAcentral. Lineage: Bacteria; Pseudomonadati; Pseudomonadota; Alphaproteobacteria; Rhodospirillales; Novispirillaceae.